This 330-nucleotide small nuclear RNA is filed under the name Marmota marmota marmota (Alpine marmot). Its description in RNAcentral is "7SK RNA (ENSMMMG00000001342.1)". It matches the Rfam family "7SK RNA". Rfam says of the family: 7SK was discovered as an abundant small nuclear RNA in the mid-70s but a possible function has only recently been suggested. Two independent studies have found that 7SK RNA binds the CDK9/cyclin T complex (known as elongation factor P-TEFb). P-TEFb activates transcription by phosphorylating the C-terminal domain of RNA polymerase II. Lineage: Eukaryota; Metazoa; Chordata; Mammalia; Rodentia; Sciuridae. The record is from RNAcentral.
AGAUGUGAGUGCAGGAUGUGCUGGCUGUGACAUCUGUCACCCCAUUGCUCUCCAGGGCCCAUGCAGCUGACCUGGCUGGCUGGGCAGGUGUCCCUCCUCCCUCGUCACACCAUGCACAUUCCUCCCAAACCUGCACACUUGGUCAAAGAGGACGAUCCCUCGUACAGGAGGACCCUUCUUGGUCACGGGCAGAGGACUAGCCAUGCUCCCCUGCCCGGACCUCCAACAGGCGUGUUCCUGCUCAUUGCUCCUGUCAUUUGAUGCAUCACUCCCAAGUUCUCAGGCCAAAGAUUUCCAGGAGGGCUACUUUCACCCUAAGUGUCCCCAUUU